UUCGGAUGAACUUUUCGUAAUCAUGCUCAUUUUCUAGUGGGAUGAGUUUUCGCAGGAGGGUAGGACGAUUAGGCACGUACCCUCCAAAGGGGUACUGCCCAAAAUUUAUAGCAGCAUGCUGCCCUGAUGCAAUCCAGAUUAUUGUUGUUUGGAGCUCAAUAUCAGACUUGACAAAGUUAGGCUCAGAGUAGAAGUGAUCAACAUAAGAUUCUACAUAUUCUUUUAUGGCUGACCAAAUGAGGAGCCCGUCUGAAGCAUAGGGGUAGUCUUCUAUCACAAGUCUCACGCCACAAGGCAUUGAAGGAUCCUCCACUGCCAUUCCCCUGAAAGUUUCAUCACAAGUAACAUCUUUUUGAUCAUAUAUUCUACAAGAAAGCUGGCAAUAAGAUUACAGCAAGUGAUGUUUAGAAACAGUAAUACACUAAAUGCAUGAAAAAACAAAAGGGUUUAUGAAAUUAAAAUGCAUUACAGUUUUACCUGCGAACAAGAUCUGCUGGCAAUGCCUCCAUGUCAAACCGCCACAUAUUCUGGUAAGCUGCAGAGCUAAUCUCCAUGGAAUACUUUCCAGGACUGUAACAAGUCUCAAUUAUUCCUCCUCCAUUUAUUAAGCUUUGCCGUGCAAUUGCAUUAAUUUCAAGAGUAUAGCGCAUAUGAGGAUGGAGCAAUUUGUAAAUGGGGUGCAUUGCACUAAGCUGUCUGUGAGUUGCAAUUAUAUAAGUCUCCAUGCAAGCAUGAGUUCUCAACCUGAGAAUUCAAAAAAACACACAGGUAAGAGAUGCGCAUGCCUUGAUUUUUAAAAUUUCAUCAAGUACAAUCCAUUCUUCUACCAGUGAUUUACUAGCUGAUGGACACCAGCAUCAUUUGAGCAGACAUGAGCUUUGGCUAGUUUCCAAAUCCAAUGUGUUGUGGCAUCAUGCCCAUGAGUGUAAACACGUUUUUCUCCAGGUGAAGAGGGUGAUUGAGGAAGUGAAAGCUCAAUAGCUAUUGGCCUUAGCAUAUUAGCUCGGUCAUGAAAGAAAACAGUCCUUGAUGCAUAAGCUUUUCUCCCUGGCAAGGAGUUCAUCUUCUCCAUAAAUGGCAAAAGCAUAUCAUGGUGAUCGAGUAUAAAUAACCUAUUCUCUUCAGUUGCCUGUAUCAUUAAGUAUCAGAAACCAGAAUUAGAGGAAUCCAGUUUUUCAGCGCAAACUGGUUUCAAUUUUUUUUUUAAUUUUGUGGAAUUUCAACCAGAAAAAAGAAGAUGAAAAUCAAAGGCAUGAAUCACCACAUGUUUAUUCUUUCUCCAGAUUCAGAACAAUGGAAACAGUUUUCUGUGAAUGUAGUAGGAAUGCAGCGAAUAAUGCAUGAUACAGGUACCUUUUCCACACUCA
Populus trichocarpa (black cottonwood) is the source of this 1367-nucleotide long non-coding RNA. RefSeq lists it as uncharacterized. The record is from RefSeq and is a predicted model, not a curated record. Lineage: Eukaryota; Viridiplantae; Streptophyta; Magnoliopsida; Malpighiales; Salicaceae. The transcript has 2 exons.